RNAcentral lists this non-coding RNA (28 nucleotides) under Homo sapiens (human). The record is from RNAcentral. Lineage: Eukaryota; Metazoa; Chordata; Mammalia; Primates; Hominidae.
UGUGAGCAAAGACCGUGAGGCUGGAGGC